Molecule: long non-coding RNA, 895 nt
Filed under: Mus musculus (house mouse)
Lineage: Eukaryota; Metazoa; Chordata; Mammalia; Rodentia; Muridae
Description: RIKEN cDNA 4930554C24 gene
Source: RNAcentral
ACACUAACUAAAGGGCUCCGGCGUUCAAUCUCACCUUCCCCCGGUGCUUUCAAUCAGUUUCUACCACUGAAAGAUUUAAAUUCUGGCCAGUUACUGAGAGGCGGAAAAAAAUCUCUCCUGUGAAACAGUGACUGUAAAGUCUGGCUUCCACCCAAGCCACAGGAACUUUAAACAGUCUGCGGGCUCAGCGGCCACAGACAGGUUCAAACUGAGUGGGAUGAAAGCUGCUCCCAGGUUUUCAAUCUGAGGUCGCAGAAACCCUUCAAGUUUCCCCAUCUCUCUCUGAGGGUUCAUGAGGAAAAUAACACUGAGUUGUAUUGUGACCUCUGCCCAGUGAUGGGAAAAUAGUUCCAGUUAUUAUGAAUUAAGAUAAUUUCAAUUUCAUUUCGGCAAAAGAGUACAUUCAUUCUGGUCUUUCAUACUUUUCCCAUGAAAAAGUUAGCAAUCUGAUUAAUGAUAUCAAGGCUUUGGAAUAAUAGGAAGAAGAGAAUGUGCCAGAAACACAUUGAUAUGAAGUUUAAACCAGCUUAAACCAUUCUCCAUAAAUAAUUGAAACAACUUCUAACAAAAGGAACAAAUAAUAAUUAAUAUGUAUAACACUGAUUGAAAACCUGCCUUUAGUCUUUGAAGAGCAUGACUAUAUGAUCUUUGGAGAAGAAUAUGACGUGCACACGGAAUGUACAAAGUUUGCUUGGAAUGUACAAAGCCAUAAAGAAAUGAAAUUUUAAGUAGUUCCAUGCGACUGGAGGGUGCAGCUUGUGACAGGAAAUGAAGUUUGGGGAGCAGCGGCAGAGGUAUUUCAUACUUCAGUGGUUCCAUACACUAUGCUAAAGAAUCAGGACCUAAUCCUCAAUAAGAAUUAAUUGGAAAGAGACCUCACAGACACAAGAAAUAA